This 465-nucleotide ribosomal RNA is filed under the name uncultured Klebsiella sp. Its description in RNAcentral is "bacterial SSU rRNA". It matches the Rfam family "Bacterial small subunit ribosomal RNA", at positions 338 to 795 of the family's 1533-position model. The record is from RNAcentral. Lineage: Bacteria; Pseudomonadati; Pseudomonadota; Gammaproteobacteria; Enterobacterales; Enterobacteriaceae.
CCUACGGGGGGCAGCAGUGGGGAAUAUUGCACAAUGGGCGCAAGCCUGAUGCAGCCAUGCCGCGUGUGUGAAGAAGGCCUUCGGGUUGUAAAGCACUUUCAGCGGGGAGGAAGGCGGUGAGGUUAAUAACCUCAUCGAUUGACGUUACCCGCAGAAGAAGCACCGGCUAACUCCGUGCCAGCAGCCGCGGUAAUACGGAGGGUGCAAGCGUUAAUCGGAAUUACUGGGCGUAAAGCGCACGCAGGCGGUCUGUCAAGUCGGAUGUGAAAUCCCCGGGCUCAACCUGGGAACUGCAUUCGAAACUGGCAGGCCAGAGUCUUGUAGAGGGGGGUAGAAUUCCAGGUGUAGCGGUGAAAUGCGUAGAGAUCUGGAGGAAUACCGGUGGCGAAGGCGGCCCCCUGGACAAAGACUGACGCUCAGGUGCGAAAGCGUGGGGAGCAAACAGGAUUAGAUACCCGGGUAGUC